AUACAGGAUUUGGACAUAACUGGAGGGGCUGAGAAAUGAAUCCGCACUUAGAGAACUGACUGCUCCUUCAGAAGACAGAGGCUCCGUUCCUAGUACCCAUACAAGGCAGAUCACAGCUCCUUGAAACUCCAGUUCUAAGGGAUCUGAUGCCCUCUUUGGACCUCAACCAGCACUCAGAAAGCAGAGGCAGGAGGAUCUCUGGUAUGUCCCUCAGAAACUGUGGGAUCAGAUUCAAAGGGAUCUGAGGACGAUGAAGAAAGACACCAAGAAAACAACUGAUCGUUAGCAUCAAUAUUUCUAAAGGAAUCAAACUUCAGAGUCGCUUCCUACUGUCACUGUUACUGGAAGAGGUGAAACCGGCAAACUGGAAAUGAACAGCUGAGUCAAGUUGUCGGCACGUGUUAGAAGGGGUGAAUUAGUAAGCAGAAUCCUUCUGAGGUCUCUGCUUCACUCCCUGCCUCCGGGUUCCUGCUUUGAGCUUCUGCCCUAGGUUUUCUGGAUGACGGACUAUACUGUGUAUGAGAAAUAAACCCUUUUCUUUCCAGGUUACUUUCGAGAGGUGUUUGAUCACAGCAGCAUAAAAGCCAACUAGACAUUCAUCACUUUACAAUCACCUAAACAAGACUCGCAACGUUUUGAUUUUCUUUUUUAUGUGCAUUGGUGUUUUGCCUGCAGUGUUAGGGAGUUGAAAGGGUAGAAGAAAGGGAUGGAGAAGGGUGGAAGAAAGAAGAGCCUACAAAGAAGCAACACGGAACUAGAGGUAUAGACAGUUGUGAGCUGCUGUGUGGAUACUGGGAAUUGAACCAGGGUCCUCUGGAAGAGCAGCCAGUGCUCUUAACC
Molecule: long non-coding RNA, 840 nt
Organism: Rattus norvegicus (Norway rat)
Lineage: Eukaryota; Metazoa; Chordata; Mammalia; Rodentia; Muridae
Source: RefSeq, a predicted model, not a curated record